CAGCUUGUUGGUGAGGUAACGGCUCACCAAGGCAUCGACGGGUAGCUGGUCUGAGAGGAUGAUCAGCCACACUGGGACUGAGACACGGCCCAGACUCCUACGGGAGGCAGCAGUGGGGAAUCUUGCACAAUGGGCGAAAGCCUGAUGCAGCAACGCCGCGUGCGGGAUGAAGGCCCUAGGGUUGUAAACCGCUUUCAGCAGGGAAGAAAAUGACGGUACCUGUAGAAGAAGGUGCGGCCAACUACGUGCCAGCAGCCGCGGUGAUACGUAGGCACCAAGCGUUGUCCGGAUUUAUUGGGCGUAAAGAGCUCGUAGGCGGUUCGGUAAGUCGGGUGUGAAAACUCUGGGCUC
RNAcentral lists this ribosomal RNA (351 nucleotides) under uncultured Actinomycetes bacterium. Its description in RNAcentral is "SSU rRNA". It matches the Rfam family "Bacterial small subunit ribosomal RNA", at positions 242 to 610 of the family's 1533-position model. Lineage: Bacteria; Bacillati; Actinomycetota; Actinomycetes. The record is from RNAcentral.